RNAcentral lists this unclassified non-coding RNA (889 nucleotides) under Hevea brasiliensis (rubber tree). The record is from RNAcentral. Lineage: Eukaryota; Viridiplantae; Streptophyta; Magnoliopsida; Malpighiales; Euphorbiaceae.
GCCCAUAGGUUGGGUCGUGACAUGGUAGUUGAAAAACAACUCGUUUAUCAUCACCUAGCAAGUCAAAAUCGUUCACCAAGGCAUGCUGCAAUUGUUGGAGACAUCUCAUAGCCAGAAAGCUAAAUAGAGGGGCUCCUACAAUAUAAGUCACCAUGCAUAGCUUUUUGUUACAACAGAAGAUUAAAGGAAACAUCUCCAAAGCUUCAAGGCAGACGACUUAAGCCCCAAGAACAAGCAAGGACUCAGGAAACAGCAGGACAUCACCAAAAAAACAAUAAAGAAAAAGAGUUUGGUGGUGCCUUUCGAUGACUCACUUGUGCCUUACGGGCCAUUUCAGGUACUCAACGACACCAUCUCUUGUAACGUUUCACUUCCUCUCGCCAUUCCAAAACCGAGUCUUGUGCCAAUGCCUGUGUACUUCCAAAUUCACCUGCAACACAGAUAAAAAAGUAACAAAAGAAAAGACACAAAAAAAAGCAGCCCAUAAAAAUGCCUUGCCACUGAGAACCAAUUGCAAACAAAGCCAAAGAACCAAUAUCUACACACCAACCAAGAGAUGGGGAGGAAACCAACGAUUGAGUCAAAGGGGGAGAGGCCUUCCUUUGGCCGUAGGGGAAUUGACUAACCAUGGCACUUUUUUAAGGAUCCUCAUUUUAUUCCUAACAGGCGCAAAGGUAAAAAGAUAGGUAUUCUGGUGCUCAGGUAAGGUUUUUACCUCAAAUCAAAUACCAAAUUCCAUACUUGUUUAAUAACAUUUUUUAUAUGGGAGAUAGAGAAGGAACUGGUAGAGAUAACUCCACUAACUAGGAUGAUAUUUGAUACUGAUUCAGCAGCUUGGUUGUCAUGAUUUUGUUCUAAGUCAAUAUCUUGGCAGGACAAGUGGUGUGUU